Molecule: ribosomal RNA, 652 nt
Filed under: uncultured bacterium
Lineage: Bacteria
Description: bacterial SSU rRNA
Rfam family: Bacterial small subunit ribosomal RNA (bases 1-551)
Source: RNAcentral
CCUACGGGAGGCAGCAGUGGGGAAUUUUGGACAAUGGGGGCAACCCUGAUCCAGCAAUGCCGCGUGAGUGAAGAAGGCCUUCGGGUUGUAAAGCUCUUUUGUCGGGGAAGAAACGGGACUUACUAAUACUAGGUUCUAAUGACGGUACCCGAAGAAUAAGCACCGGCUAACUACGUGCCAGCAGCCGCGGUAAUACGUAGGGUGCGAGCGUUAAUCGGAAUUACUGGGCGUAAAGCGUGCGCAGGCGGUUAUAUAAGACAGUUGUGAAAUCCCCGGGCUCAACCUGGGAACUGCAAUUGUGACUGUAUGGCUAGAGUGUGUCAGAGGGGGGUAGAAUUCCACGUGUAGCAGUGAAAUGCGUAGAGAUGUGGAGGAAUACCGAUGGCGAAGGCAGCCCCCUGGGAUAACACUGACGCUCAUGCACGAAAGCGUGGGGAGCAAACAGGAUUAGACUACCCGUGGUAGUCCACGCCCUAAACGAUGUACUAUUAGUUGUUUAGGUUUUAACUUAACUUAGUAACGAAGUACUAACGCGACGAAAUACGACCGUCCGUGGGGUACGUACCGGCCGACGUAAAGGUUAAACCUACGAAAAGGUAAGUUGGACCGGCGUGAGACGUACGACCGACGGACGACGACGACGGGAGGUAGG